GACGAACGCUGGCGGCGUGCUUAACACAUGCAAGUCGAGCGGGAUCCAACCGGUGGCAACACCGGGGAAGAUCUAGCGGCGAACGGGUGAGUAACACGUGAGCAACCUGCCCCAAGACUGGGAGUAACACCGGGAAACCGGUGCUAAUACCGGAUGUCGUCAUUAGGCCGCAUGGACCUGAUGAUGAAAGGAUUCAUCGGCUUCGGGGAGGGGCUCGCGGGCUAUCAGCUUGNGGGUGGGGUAACGGCCUACCAAGGCGACGACGGCUAGCUGGUCUGAGAGGACGACCAGCCACACU
This 298-nucleotide ribosomal RNA is filed under the name uncultured bacterium. Its description in RNAcentral is "partial 16S ribosomal RNA". It matches the Rfam family "Bacterial small subunit ribosomal RNA", at positions 28 to 314 of the family's 1533-position model. The record is from RNAcentral.